CGGACUGGUGAGUAACGCGUGAGGAACCUGCCUUUCGGAGGGGGACAACAGUUGGAAACGACUGCUAAUACCGCAUGACGUAUCGGGAUCGCAUGGUCUUGAUACCAAAGAUUUUAUCGCCGAAAGAUGGCCUCGCGUCUGAUUAGCUAGUUGGUGGGGUAACGGCCUACCAAGGCGACGAUCAGUAGCCGGACUGAGAGGUUGGCCGGCCACAUUGGGACUGAGAUACGGCCCAGACUCCUACGGAAGGCAGCAG
This 256-nucleotide ribosomal RNA is filed under the name uncultured bacterium. RNAcentral's name for it is "partial 16S ribosomal RNA". It matches the Rfam family "Bacterial small subunit ribosomal RNA", at positions 99 to 354 of the family's 1533-position model. The record is from RNAcentral.